UGGGCUCAAUGGGUGUCCUGGGGGUGGGGGCAGAGUUAAGUAGAAAUCAUGUCAACACAGUCCCUGUGCCUGGAAAUGUUGGCCUCUUCUCUGAUUUUGUGACCCCAGAACUGAUUCCUUGGGAGGCCGAGAACUUAACCAGACUCUUAACCAAGUAGACAGAGGAAAGAUGCCAGUGCUUUGGAGCUUCAGGGUUCAGAGUUCGAUCUAGGCUCUGCCACUUACUAGCUGUGUGACGCUGGGUUAGGUGCUUUCCCUGUCUGUGCCUCAGUUCCCUCAAAGUCUGUUGAGGACCAAGCACCUGCCUUAGGGUGAUGAUGAGAUUUUAAAGGCAAAAGCAGGUGAAACGUCCUCAGGUUAUGUGUGUGGCUCUUGCCGAUAUUGUUACUGAUGCUCCCAUAGUCCUUUGUGUUGGUUCUGAACAGGCAUCUGGCUAUGGAUAUACGUAUCAGGCAGUCUCUUUGCCAGAGUUCAUUGUGUGCACCAUGCCUCGGCUAGAACAGGGCAUGGCAUGUAGUAGGUGCUCAGUUAGUAUUGGAACAAAGUAUAGGGGACUAGCUCGUGGCUCGACUGGCUCGGCUGGAUUCCAGGCUCAGCCUUUUUCUAGCUGUGUGACCCUUCUUUUAGCUGUGAACUCUAGCUGAGUUCCUCAGCUUCUCUUGUUGCUAAAUCAGGGAUAACCAAAACCCUAGCUUCUACGGUUGUUGUAUUAAAUGAGAUGAUGCAUGCAAAGAGCCGUCCUGGUAGAUGGGAGCUGUUUUUGUUAUCGAGAAGGGCAAUGAGCAGGGGUCUGGUUAAUCACGCAAGACAGCAAGGGUCUGUGUACGGCGUUACCCUGGGCAGGUGCCUGUGAGGUGAGAGGCUGGCGCCAAGGAGGAUUUGGAGAGGGCAUUCCAGGUAGGGGCACUGGUAGCAGGAAUAUUAGGGGUUAAAUUGGUGGGCCGAGAAAAGUGGGCUGAGACAGUGAGUCUGACUGGAGGGACUGCCUGGGGGCUGCUGGGACUUGGGGCUGCAGAGUGGGGCGGGGGCCAGUAGCUAUGCAACGGGGUUUGGAUUUUAUCCUGUGGGCAGGAGGGAGCCAUUGAAGGUUAUUGGACAGGGGAGUGACAGGACUGGAGAGGCACUUUAUGGAGAUGACACUGGCAGCGUGUGCACAGGAUUGGAGACUGGAGACAGGCAGGGGGAGGCUGCUGCCACCUGGGAGGCGAGGGCAGUGGAGGGGACUAGAGAGGGGACAGGUUCAAGCCAACUUGAGGAGGGAGCUCUGAGGGCCGAGGGGGGGUGGGCAAAGGGAGAGUCAGAGGGGCCUGGGGCUUGGAGCUGGGGUGACUGGAACCCCCAUGUUCUGAGCACUCUGGGCUGGACACAGCAAGGGUGAGCCACUUGGCUGGGUCCUGGCCAGGUCCAGCUUCGUGGGCAAGUUAACCGGGCCCUCCACUUAGGAGGGCUUUGCACUUGGUUUAAUGCUCUGCUGUCGCCCUCGUGAAAUUCUUAAUAUGUUUUGAACAAGUGCCCUGUGUUUUCGUUUUGCGCUGGGCUCUGCAAAUUAUGUAGCUAGUCCCAGUCCGCAAGUCUCAGGCUCUGGGCUCUUGGAAUUGAGGCCUGGGAGGGCUCAAGCUAGAACCAGGCCUACGGGAAUUAAGGAGACCUCCCUCUCUACCGUUGGCCCGAGGCUUGUUCUCAGAUGGCUUCUUCCUGCUGGCUCUCAGCUUGGCCUUCAAAGCCUUCCUCAGUCAGGCCCUGCCUCUUCUCUCAUUCUCUGACCUCAGCCACCAGCUCACCUGCUGUUCCCACACAUCUCAGACACUUGUCCACAUCUAGGUCUUACUCAAGCUGUACUGGUUGUUGCAGGAUGUGUCCCUGGCCUCUGUCGUCCUAUCUUCUUCUGGAGAAGUCCUCUGAAGGCCUGGCACAGGAGUCACCAGUGUCACAGAGUCUCCCUGGCUCUCUCCAUCCCACCCCACUCCCCUUGGAGGGGAGCUUGGGUCUGUCUUGCAGUGCUUGUUAAACAUGCAGAUUCCUACUCCAGCUCUCAGGGUGAAGCCUAUGUAUCUGCAUUCCCAGCUGGUCCCUGGGGUUGCCUGUGCACACUGGGGUCUGAGAACCUCUGCCCCAGGUACCCCCAAGCCUGGCACAGGGCCUGGUACUGGAGAGGUGCUCCGUGUCUGUCUACCAAGUGAGUGAAUGAGCUGUGGUUGUCUGUCAUCUCGAUGCGUGCAGCCUCCCUGCGGCCCGGCCUGCUGCCUGGUGUGGAGUGGCAUCAGUGGGUGACUCUAAAUGGUGGUGGGAUGGCAGCCAGUGUGGAUCUGGAGGAGGAUUGGGAGGACACCUGACCAUCCUAGGAACUCUGGCCGGGCCAGGGUUCUUCCCCUCCCCCUGAAACCCCAGGCUGUGGGUUGUGCCCUCUAGGAGACAGGAAGUAGGCAGAGCCCUUCCCCUCCCCCUCUUCCUAGAGGGCGGUCUGCUCCCAGUGUGGUCCUCUUUGCACACAAUCGUAACAGCAUGAUAGAGGUGAAGGGCUUUAGGUUUUAUUUCUUUACACUGCAUAGGCACUGAGUUAAGGACUUGAAUGAUUUCAUUAAACCCAUACAGGUCUAUGAGGCAGGGUCUGUUAUUAUUCCCAUUUCAGAGAUGUGGAAACUGAGGCACAGAAAGGGGAAGCCAGCUGUCCAAAGCCACACAGCUUAGCUCAGUCUCUCCACCGUUUGGCCUCUGAGACGUCCGAUCCCCCUGUGGCUCCUGUUUGUGAUAUCCCAGGAAAGCAAAUGCUCCGUGAGUGUCUGGGGAAGAGAAGGAGAGUAGAAGGAAGCCAGCCCACCCCCCAUCCAACCGGAGGGACCCCUGCUCCAGGCAGGGCUGGGCUGGCACCAUGAACCCAAGGUGAGCCGGACCAUCACAGCCCGGUGUGCCUGGGGUCGGGGAGCGCAGGGGAGCUCAGGGGAGGAGCAGCUGACUCUGGCAGGUGGGCUGUGAGGGGGCAUCCAGAAAGCUCCGUGGUGGACCACAAGACCAGGAAAGCCUCCUUGCCCAGUGGUGACCAGACUCUGUCAAGAGGCCUGGAUGGUCCAGUCUCCACAGAUGGCAUUCCAGAAUCAAAAGUGGAGCCCCUUCCAUGCCAGGCCCGCGUGGGCACUGGGAAGGCCUGGGGAGCAAGACAGACGCAAGCCUUGUCCUUGGGGAGUUCAUGACCCAGGGGGCAGACAGCAUGGAGGAGACCCAGCCAGGCAGGCCCUGGGGAACUGAGUGGAGUGGGGUCCAACCAAGGGAAGACAAGUACAGAUGCCAGGAGCAGGCCUGGCACAUAGUAGGUGUUUAAGGACUGUUCCCAUGACAUUUUUCAGUUGUCCACCUGCUACAACAGCCCCUUUAAUUAGCGCUCCAGAGGGCCAAGCUCCAGGCCCUCCCUAAUGCCGUGACAGUGCUGUCUUGGAUGAGUCCUUUGACCUUUCUGAACCUCAGUUUCCUUACCUGUAAAAUGGGUGCAACUUUCCCUCCUCUCCAGGUCGUUGGAAAGAUUAACCAUAAGAGGACGUGAAGUGCUUAGCACAAAGCUCAUCACUCAAAAAAAAAUAGAGCAAAGAAAAAUGUUUCCUUACAGCUGUUGUUGUGGUCAUUUUAUUAAUAAGAAUUCUAACAAAACAAACCGCAGGAAGGCCAGUCUACCCCCUCUGAGCCCUCCAGAGACUGACUGAGCUCCUUUUCUCCCCUCCCUCCCACCUCCUCAGGGCCAGCCCCCAUCUCUGCUCCCACCCCCACCCCUGCACAGGGAACAGAGGUGACUCAACUGGUCCAGACCUUGCUGGAGCUCCAGCCUCACAGGGGACAGAGCCAGGGAAGGACAGGGAUGCUGAGGAUAAUCCUGUGAGUGGAGGGCUGUGGUGAGGGGAGGGUCCUUAGGGAUGGGGCACCUGGAGUAAUGCUACCUGGAGAGGUGGGAAAGCCUUUACUAAGCAGGGGACAUGUGGACAGAGCUGGGAGAGGCGGGAGGGGGGCUUUCCAGGCUCAGUGAAUAGUGAGGGCCAAGGCCUGGAGGCGUGGAAGGUGAAGCACAGAAUCCCCUCCCUCCCCUCCCCUUCCUGCCCUGUCCCUGGCUGUCCUCCCCUCUGAUUAGUGAGUGCAGUUUGGCUGAUUUGGUUUAAGGUCUAGCACCUGCUACAUGCAAGACUCUGGCUAAGCUUAUCACAUGUACCCUAGGAAGCCCAGUGACACACCUGAGAGGUAGGUGUGAUUAUCAUUCCCAUUUUACAGGUAAAGAGACUGAGGCCCAGAAGUGGUGGGCAACUUGCCCAAGACCACACGGCUGCAUCACAACCGGGUCUGACUCCAGCCUCUGGCCCUCCCCCAUCCCUUCCACUCCCCUUUCAGUCAACUGCUUGUCAUCCACUCGCUCAUUGCCCACGCCUGUCAUGUCACAUGCGGAACAGGCACGACCUCCUGGGGCUCAUACACAGACGAGGGUGUGUGGACUCUUGGGACUGGGGAGAUUGGGAGCAGGUACAGGCGGAGGUGGACACAAGAAGUUUUUGAAAACCCACUUGCAAUCAGAGGAGAUGCUGGGGCGAGGGCGCUCCAGCCUGAGGGGGCUGCUUGGGCAGAGAGGCUGGCAAGCCCCGACCAUACUAAUAAUUCUGUGCACAUUGCUGAUGACAUGACCCCAUCAAAACCUCGGAGGGGGCUUCCCUGGUGGCGCAGUGGUUGAGAGUCCACCUGCCGAUGCAGGGGACGUGGGUUUGUGCCCGGUCCGAGAAGAUCCCACAUGCCGUGGAGCGGCUGGGCCCGUGAGCCAUGGCCGCUGAGCCUGCGCGUCCGGAGCCUGUGCUCCGCGACGGGAGAGGCCACAACAGUGAGAGGCCCGCGUACCGCAAAAAACACAAAAACAAAACCAGCCUUGGAGGUUCAAAGGAAUAAGUGUGUGUUUCAGAGCCUGGUGGUCCUGAUCUUGGUCGCAUUCCUUUCUGCCGUUUAACUGCCGUUUCUUUACCUAUAAAUUGGGCAAUCCAAAAACCCAGAUCAGGAUUUUCAGCAAAUGAAGAAAUGGUAACUGCUAUUUUUAAAGUAAUAAUAAUAACAGUAAUAACAAUAAUAAUGACAAUAAAAGUCUCUGAAGUUACAGCUGAGGAAACUGGAGCUCAGAGAGUUUUAAGUGGCUGCCCUGAGGUCACCCAGCUGGGAAGUGGGUGGUUUGGACUCAGGCCUGGGGGCUGUACCUCUUGGUGUGGUGGGUUGCUGCCUCCCCCCGAAAGGAGGGGAGGAGAGCCCAAGGCCUGAUUUGAACCCAGGCAGUCUGAGCCAGCACCUGCCCUGUGGGCUGCCAGCCCUUCGGUGGUGGACAGUGGGAGGCAUUUCACUCCCUCGGCCCAGGAAUGGGUGGGGGGCAAGAGGAGCUUGGAAAGGCUCUGAUGGAGGAAGAGUGGGACGUGGUAGACCCUGGAGACAGGGCUUCUCUCCCAGACUAGGGGGUGUGGAGGAGGGCUUCCCGGAGGAAGAGCUGUCUGCACUGAGAGCAGAGGGAUUAUCCAGGUAAAGGGGGAGGGGAGCAGCUUUGGGCAGGGAGGACAGCAUGUGCCAGGGCCUGGAGGUGGGCCGUGCUGGGGGCACAGGGAGAGGUCAGGUCACAAAGGCUAUUAAAGGCCGUGCUAGGAGUCUGGCCUUUACUGGGGGGCCGCUGGAAGCCAUGCAAGGAUUCUAGGAGGGCAGUGUCAUGGUCAGAUUUGAAUGAGGAAAUUUACUCUGAUGGCUGCGUGGUUUGCAGGGGGAGCAGGGUGAGGCCCGAGAGGAAGUUGUGGACAUAGGGAGGGGGCCCUGUAAGGCCGUGUUCAGGUGUGCACACUGAAUGCAGAUGCUGUAAGCACAGAUGGCCACGGGCAUCUGCAUGGGUGUCAAGAGACCUGAGCUCCAUGAGGGGAACUCGGUGAAUAUGUGGUGACACGUGUCAGUAGGCACCAGGCAUCCACGUCUGUGUGUACAUGUACCUGGCAUUCAUCUGUGUGAGUCCGUCAGUGAUGGUGGUACGUCCCUGUGUGUUUUCAAGGCUAUUUGUGUAUGUGCACACAUGACAGCUUGUGAGGUGGCAGCUCUCUGUCCAACUGUGCUGCCUGAGAGAGCCCCAGACAGCCUUGGGCCAGCUGGUGGGACCGGCCCAGCCUGGGUAGAUACCACCUGGUCUUGACACCCCAUCCCUGGCCAGAGGCUGUCAGCUCCGCCUCCGCUUAGCUUUAGUGCCAUGUCAUCUAUCAAGGGGUUAUCGCUGCUGUAAAUCGUCCCGAGCAGUUUGAUCGCCACAGUACCUGCCUGGCUCCCUGCGGCUGAGCUGAUGGCAGGCGGGUGGCGGGCGGUGGGCGCAGCGCUCUGGCACAGGCAGCAUCUGGAGAGGCAAGCUCGGAGCCUCCUCGGGGACCCUGGCUUAUUCUCCUACAUCUGAAUGCCAGUGCAUACGGCGGGCCGGCAGUGGGAAGGGACACGCCUGUGUGUGUGUGUGUGUGUGUGUGUGUGUGUGUGUGUGUCCCUGCAUGUGCUGCUGUGCGUCUGGGCGUGCUGUGCGUCUGGGCGUGCUGUGUGCCUGCACGUCGUCCUGUGUGCCCGUGACAGUGUGCCUACCCGUCACCGUGUCACUGAGCUCAGGUCUCAGGGUGCACACAUGUUUAUACCUGUCUGCCUGUGCCUGUGUGUGUCAGCGUGGGAGGGCAUGCUGGCACAAGUGUGUCUCCGUGUGUGUGUGUUGACAUGGGUAAUUCCAUGGCGGGUGGUGUGUGCACGUGUCACAUGGGGGGAUGCCGUGUGUAGGUGUGGGUGUUGGCCACAGCGGGCUGAUAUGGCAGGACACAGGGAGGGCGUACACACAUGUCAGUGAGGGCACUGCGUGUGUGUGUGUCUGUGUGUGUUUGGACACAGGGAUUGGGUGCGAUGGGUGGAGCGGCAGAUGGCCCCUCCUGGUGUGUGACGUCCAUGGCCACAGCUCUAAGAGCCCAGCCCAGGUUUUGGCAAGAAUUUCCUCUCACUUUUGCCAGGGUCAGGAGGGUGGAGGGUGGGGUGUGAUGACGGAUGGUGCUCUGGGGCUGCCGGCAGCGGCAGCGGGCCGGCAGCGCCCUCCUCACUCCCUUCCCAGCUGGGAAUAGUCGGCAGCUCCUCUCAGGCCCCUUCCUCCUCUUCCUCUCUCCCUCCUCUCUCUUCUCAGGUGCUGGGCCCAGGCUUAGCUCCCGGGCCAAAGGUGUGGAUACUGGGACACCCUCCCCGGAGGUCAGACCCAGACCCUGGGCGGAGACAGACACUCCCCCCUCCUGUUCCAUGGCCCUGCCUGGGGGUCUACUUUGGGUCUAUGGUCAAGGAGCCUCAUCAGGGUGCCCAGGCUGGGGCCUCAGGGCCUGGAAACACAGGGAAAGGGGUCAAACGGCACAGGGCCGGGGCAGGGGGCAGGUGCCUGGAAGCCCAAGGAGCCCCCAGCCCAGGUGAGCCCCUGCUGGUGUCCCUGGCAGGUGGGUCACGGCAGGUGCACUCCAGUGGAUGUGCCCCAACUGGUGUGUGUCCUCACAGGUGUGCCCCAGCCUGUGGCCCCCAACAGGUGUGACCGAGUUUCCCCAGGAGGAGCGAGCGGAGCCAGCCGCCGGGCCCGUGGGGCGAGUGGCUGAGCCUCUAGGGCUCCCAGUACCCACCCCCGGCCCGGAGGCCAGGGCCCUCCCACCGCUGCCACUGCCCCACCGGCAGCCUGGCCACCCCAGGGACGUGACCCUGACCCCACCCGGCCCCCCACGUCCCAGCUCAGGGGCUCACAAAGGGAGAGGAGGGAAGAGAAAAAUCGCAGAGAUUUGUCUUGUCUGGGGCUGACAGCGGAGCGAGUGAUUGCCAGGCCCGCUUGGCAGUUUUUAAUCAUUUUAUCUCUGUUCUCGGCUCUCCGGGGAGACAGCCAGUGCUUAGCAGUCUGCUCAGAAAGACCUCAGGGCGCGUGGCGCAGCGGCGGCUCCAAGCUCCCAUUAUUAGCUGUGCUCUUCGGAGCGCGCUCCGAUCUCUCCCGGGGGAGCCGGUGAAAAAUUAACACGGGCCGGCGGCGCGGGCGCCCGAUGUAACUGUAAUUACUCCAUUGAUAUUCCUCACACAAUAGCGCUGUCAUCAGUCAUUUACAUAAACUUUCUCUCCGCAAAGACGGGCGGAGGUGCCUAAUCCUAUUGGGUGCUUCCACUGCAUGCAUUAUACAUGGCAGGGGGCCCCUAGGUGCGAGGGGAGGGGACAGAUCCGGGGAGGAGAGAGGGGAGGGGAGGGGAAAGAGAGUUGGAGGAUCAUUGGAGAGGAAAGGAAUGAGGAGAGGAAGGGACUAGGAGAGGCCGGGAGGAGAGGAGGGGAAGGGAGAGAUGGUUGGAAAAGAGGAGUGGAGAGGAGAGAACCAGGAGGGGCGCUAGGGGAGAGCAAAGGGCUGGCUGGGCGGAGCGGGGCCCAGAGCCAGGAGCCACCCUGCGGAGGGCGGGGUCCCCGUGGGCUGGAGCCCAGCGGGGCUGGGGUCCCGCUUUACCCGAUGAGGGUCCCCCUGAAUCCGGGGCCGGCCCACCAGGUUUGGGCAAGGGAGGCUCCUCUGUUGCGGGGGAGGGAGGGCAGGUGAACCCGAUCCUCCGAGGGCCCCCAGCAAAGCCUUGCCCCGGAUUCAGGGACCGUCCCCCACUCUUACCCACCCGGAGGGCCAAGCCCUAAACCCUGCCGGGCAUGUGGCUCAGGCUGGAGGCUCUUCAGCUCCUAAGGAGUUAAAACCUCCCUGGAAAUUACCCCUGUAAUGACCUAAUUAAAGACUUGGGGGGGGAGGGGACACCUACUCCAGGGUGAAAGCUAAUAACACCCGCCCAACAAUAAUAAUCCUGGUGGAGCCCCCCCCAUUUUUGCUGUAGCCUCAGCCCGCUUCCGACCACCCUCACUUGACCCCCUCCUCUGGUAUCUGGGGCGGGCCAGGGGCUGAGCCCCCAGCUGGGCAGGGAAGGGCUCCGGAUGGGACCAAGGGGAGAGGUCCAGGAUAGUCAAAUUUCUGUUGCUGAAUAUUUAAUGAAGCCUGUGCGGUUUAUUCGGUUGGCCUGUCGAUUUUUAUUCUUCUGUCAAUAGCUUCUCAUAUGUGGGGUGUGAUGAUCUUUAGCAGGGCCUCUCCAGGGAUGGCCGCCACUGAAUGCAAUUACGGAUUUUAUACCUCAAUGUGUUUGAUAUUUCCACUGAUCUAAUUUGCAGCCUGGUAGUUUAUUGUUUGGCAUUUUAAUGGCGUUCAAAUGCUAUGGGAAAUUUGAUUUCUUUUUAUAAUUCCUCUUAACGCAGUUAAUGCGGGUGGUGGGAUGGCCCAGAUUGUAGAGUCCAAUGUAUAGAAAAAAGAGAACAGAACACACCCUGUAUAUGUUUAGGGACGUGUCCGUUGAAGGGAGAUGUCCCUUUGAGCCGUGGAGCCCAGGUGCCUGCCCGCCUCGGGGUGGUGACCUCUGAUGCUGGUGUGGGGAGCUGGGGCUCAGAUGUAGGGGAGCUCUUGGUGGUGCCCGGGGCUCAGGCAGAGGGCCCAGCACGCAGUCCUUUGCUCCUGCUGCCCUGAGCCCCGUGGCCUGUAGGCCUUGUCAUAAGACCUCUCUGAGUGGCUUUAGGUCACUGCCCUGUCCAGUUUUGAGCAGCUGCAGAGUCAGGGAGGCCAGCCCUACCACUGCCACCAGUUUUUGUGGCCUGUAUCUGAGGGCAGGGGCUGUACCAGUCCUGGGACUUUGAGACCAGGGGUGAUUUUGUGACCUGCCUGUCAUCUGUGUGACACGUUCUUGUGGGGCCUCAGCCACAUUCACCAAAUGUGUCAAGUUCCAAGUCUCAGGUCAGGGCAGUCCCCACUUCGGCCCCUGCAUGCACCUCUCCUUCCUGGCCUCCUUGGGAAGGCUAGGCAUGGGCGCAUGGCCAGGGCAGGCCCUGGCUGCCCCAUAGCCCAGACCUGGGUUGCUGGAGGCCGUGCUGGUUCUUUUCAAGGCUGGACUAGAGCAGAGAGGAAGCUGAGGUCCACGGAGCAAGGUGGAGGACCCUCACCUCCUUGGGGCAGUCCCCCUGAGCUGAGCCACUUUCUUUCCUGACAGUGAGUCCACAGGCUGAGCUCUGGGCAGGAGGGGCCUUCUGCCCUUGGUUAGUGGGGUACAGCCAUGGAGGACACUGGGAGAGCCUACUGCUGGGAGCUGCCCGCCUGUAGCAGGACAGCUGGGGCUGGUCUACCAGCAAAUGCCCUAGAUUUUCUAAAAACAUCUUCUGGGGAAAAGGAGUCCAGAAAAGCUCAGGAAGCUCUUGCAAGUGGCGUGCCUGGAAGUGGGCAGGGAAGACGGUCCAAGGCGGGUAGGCGGAGUUCCUGUGUCCUGGGUUCCCAGGCGCCACGGGGCAGGCCCGGCAGCCUGGCCCAGAGAGCAAGGAGGGAGCGCAUCCUCGGGCCUUCCAGAGGGUCUGUCCAGGCUCCCUGCAGCCUGCAGACCCCAAGUUCUGGUUUGGAAGGUGCCCCUUCCUGGAGCACAAGGGGACCUGGAGUCCGGUUGUGUGGAGAUGCAGAACUAACCCGGCUGCGCUUUACUGGACACCCACUGUGUGCCGAACAGCACGCUGAGCACUUUGCAUGCAUCAUCUCAUCGCAUCCGCAGGAAGCGCAGGCACCAUCGUGUCAUCCCCGUUUCACAGAGGCAUAGACUGAGGCUCUGAGAGUUUCACAACACCUGCCCGAGGCCACAGUGAUGGCAGGGCCAGAACAGGAACCCAGGUGCGUGUCGCUUCAGAAGCGCCGGUCUUGACCACGAGCCUGAUAGUACGUUCUUCCCAGGGCCAGGCUGGGCAUGUCUGCGCCGGGAGAGCUGUCCCCACCUAGCGGGGGCCCUCCUCCUCAGCACAGCUGACCCUGGUUUCUGUCCCUGGCCCAGGCUACCCCCAUAAUCCACAGGGCUGCUGGCUCAGGCACCGUGGUUGGCUUCUGUCUUGGGGAGAAUUCUGUACCUUUUGGAAAGGAAUGGCUGUCCUUCCCAUCCUCCUGGGGGAUUCUAACCCUGCCACCUCUCCCAGGUUUCUGCCAUGUCCAGUCCAUCUUCUGCAUGGCUGCUGUCCACAAUGCCAGCCCCGCCAGCUUCUUGGCAGCUUAAAUGUGAGCAGUUACAGUAAGAGCUCACGCUCACGAGUCCCUACUCCAGGCCAGGCCCUGGGCCAGCACUUCCCACGCAUUCCCCCACAACUCCAUGAAGCAGGGACCAUGGUUAUCCCCAUUUUACGGAUGAGGAAACUGAGGAUCAGAGAGGACACAUUCCGGCUAGGGGCCUACUACGACUCAAAGCUUUCCCUCAACAUCCCUUCCAAUUAGAACAAUUAUAUUAUUCCAUAGCUUUCUUUUGUGUCUCAUGCCACCGAAUUGUGUUCAUGUAUGUGUCCCCAGCCAGCCUCAGAGGCCUGACAGGGCAAGGGCUGGGUCUGUCCUGCUCAUAGUCUGUCUGUUGCUGUAACGGGGCCUGGCACCCCUCAGAUCCCAGAAAGAUUGUUGAACAAAUGCAUGAAUGGACAAGUGAAGGCCCAGAGCCCAUACUCUCGACCUCUCCUUCCAGCCGUUCUAAGAUCUCCUGGCACCUUCAGGAGAGAUUAAGGUCUGGAUGCCAGAUACCAAGGUUUUCAUAGUUUUCUUGCCACAUACCCCUCAGGUCCCAUCGCCAGCCCCUCAGCCCCACCCCAGAUGUCCAGUUCUCACCUCCCAAGUCUCACUUUCCCUGGACACUCAACUCUCUUUCAUGCCUCUGUGCCCCUGUCCACACUGUCCUCUGCACCAAAUAGCUUUCCCCUUCUCUCACCAGGCGAACUCCGCUCAGCCUGUGUGACCCAGCUCGGGUCAUGCUUUGCCAUUGUGCCAUGCUGCCCUGGCAUAACCUGGAGGGAGAGUCUCCCAUUAUAGCACAGACACUGGGGAGGGUCUGUUGAAUGAAUGAAUAAAAGAAGGAAACAGGGGGAAGGAACACUUCUGUGGGGCAUCUCAGAUAACUCCCCUGCCCAGGCUGGAGGUUUAAAACAAACUGGCUUCCUGCUCACCCAGCAACUCCCACCUGGGGUGGAAGGGAAAAUGGAUUGAAACUCUGUUGGCCCCGAGUGUGGACAGGGGCACUGUCAGCAGGUGAUGGAUAAGCAGCCCGCUUCGGCCUCACCCUGUCCUGAGAGCUGUCUGGGUGUUAAGUGGACUCCUCCCUUCCCAGACCCAAUCAGCAGUGAAAUCAGACCUGAGUAAUCUGAUGUCCCACUUAGGAAAGAAAACAGGAUUCCCCAGCCUGGGAGGAGGCUGCGGCCACGGUGGGCAGUGGGGGGGAUAACCUGCUAGCAUCAGCGUCCGCCAUCAGGGGCCCGAUAAGAUCUUCACAGCUUGUUAUCCUGGGUCAGGCUGACUUGUGUGCAUGGCUGGGGGGAGCUGUCCAGGUAGCUGGAUCUGCUCUCUGUAACCCGCCUGGGGAGGGCUGAGGGGCUGUGUGGAGACGGCUGCAGGAGGAACCGGGGUCCCAAGACCUCUGUCUGCCCCCAGGAGCACCAACUUUUGAUCCUUGAGCCUUCAACUGCAUGUCAGUAGAUCCCAGGGGAACGGAUGGAUGCAGGCAGUGCAGUUCAGUGGAGUCACACAGACCACAGCGCAGUCGCUUCCCAGCUGUGUGCCCUUGAGCAAACCACACACCCUUUCUGAGCCUCAGUCGCCUCCUCUGUCACUGGGGAGCACAACUCCUACUCCUGGAUUGUUGACAAGAUUUAGUGACAUCUUGUUUGGCCCUGACACAGUGAAGCAAAUCAGAACUUAGGUGACCAAGCCAUUCAUUGUCCAAACCAGGACACUUUCAGAGUGAAAGGGGAUGUUACUGAUAAUUAUGCUGGGGGCUUCCCUGGUGGCACAGUGGUUGAGAGUCCGCCUGCCGAUGCAGGGGACGCGGGUUCAUGCCCCGGUCCGGGAAGAUCCCGCACGCUGCAGAGCGGCUGGGCCCGUGAGCCAUGGCCGCUGGGCCUGCGCGUCCGGAGCCUGUGCUCCGCAAUGGGAGAGGCCACAACAGUGAGAGGCCCGCGUACCGCAAAACAAAACACUGGAGAGCAUUUUUAAAGCCUGGGCAGGUAUUUUUGUAUGACACACAAAAUGCACAAAAGAGGCAAAGUGUGCUUGGGAAUCUGACCACACUUUUAGUUCUCUGCAGACAGAACUCUGCUUGUAUGUGUAAGUCUGCCACCGAACAGUGACUCGUUUCCAGGGGCUGCCUGCCUGCAGCGGGCAGGGGUGGGGGCCGUGCGAGAGGGAGAGACCCAUGGGCUUUGGAUCCCAGAAGUCUCCUGAGGGAGGGCGGCGGGGCGUCCUCAUUGUGGAGCCCUUGCCACUUGCACAGGGGCGUGGAUACCCUGCAGCUCCUGAGCCAGAAUUUUGGAAGUGGGAGGAUCUUGAUGCAUUCAUCAUUCAGCAAGCAGUUAGUGAGGACACGCUGUGUGCCAGCCGCCGUAUCAGGCAUGGAACAUACAAAGAUAAGCAAGGGAGCUCCCAGUUUUGUGAGAGCACCCAGGCUGUUGAUGAACUGUUGUAUAGGUUGUUCACUGCACAAGGGCACCCAGCCAAGGGGGUGAGUAGGAGACUGAAAUCUAUUUUGUACUUUGUUCACCUGGUCUGGCCAGAAGAAGGGGUGCCACUUUCAUUUAGUAUCAGGGUCCGGCGUGGGCUAACAGUUAGUGAAGGGAUGACCACGGGGUCGUGGGGCUUCGCUUGGGGGAAGUAGCAGUGGGAUGGGAGAAAUCCUCUCAGAAGAGGGGCUGGCCUCGGGGCACCCUGCCUGCUGACCCUCUGCCCUCCCUGCUGCCUGCCAGCCCCCUCCCUCUGGUCCAAAUUCCCACCUCCUGAUUAGAUUUGGGAAGGACUAAUUAGAUAUAAUUCAUUAUCCUCAAAAACGAGAUCAGAAAUCAGGAGCUCUCCUCAGAAGAAGGUGGCCUCGCCCCUCAUCCAUCAUGCCUCUAAGUAACCAAUUUAAAGUCAGGCGGACGCACGCAGCAGCAUUAUUACCUUGUCAUAAAUAGUUAGGGGAAGGCCCCCGAACAAGGCAGCUUUAUAAAUGGUUUUUAUCACAUUAGUUUGCAGUUAUUUGUCAUCCACUUUGCUUAAGAUAAAUGCCGAACAAAUAAUCAAAUUAUCAAGCCAAAACCUUGGAAAGUCAUUUGCAUUAAUGGCAGCAGUAAAGGCCGGGCAUCCCAGUCGAGAGAGCCCCCUGCCUCUCUCAGGCCUCGUUUGCGGGGUGGGGCUCGAGGACUUCCUGGCAGGGGUGGGAAGUCUGUACUGGCAGCCGGAGACACCCAGAGGCCCCGCUAUGGGACAGGGCCAGCUGGACCUGGGGCUGGGCUGGGCCUUUCAGGGGACUCAGGGGCUGUGCUUUCCUGGGGCUGGAGCUGGGGUGUUAGGGUGGGUUUGCCAGGGCCCCCCUUCCUCAUACACCCACAGACACGCUCCCACAGAUACACACACACACACACACACACACACACACACACACACUCCUUACUCUCUGUUGCUGGGAGCUCAUUGGUGCCUUUUGUCUGGCCCCAGAAGGGCCCUGUCACGGGCCUGAAUGGACCCCCUACCCCUGCAGAGCGUGACAGGUUCAGGCGACUCAUGCCCCAGGCCUGUCUGGCUCCUGUGCUGGCCACCAGUGCUCUGGCGGCAGGUGGUGAGGAGGGUCCCGGGCCUGGGCGGAACAUGUCCAGGGGCGCCCACUGACCCCUCCCAGCUGGGCCCGGAAGGCUCCCUCCAGCAGCAGCCCCUCAGUAACGAAUGGCAAUUUCACGCCGCCCCCAGGAGGCCCUCCUGCGCCCCAGCUGGGCCAGGACUGGCUAGGCCUGCAGGCGCCCAGCCGUCCUCCCCGCCCGAGCGGGGCCGGCCCUGGCCCAUCCAGCUUCCUACACGUUCAGGUCAGGGCAGGGGUCCUGCUCAGUCAUCUGGCUGCAGACACUGGCCUGACGUCAGAGACGGUCCUGGGGGUGGAUGUCUACACUGGCCUCAGAGGUUGUCUUAUGUGGGGUGGUCUACACUAGCUUCAGAGGCUGUCCUGUUUGUGAGCAUCUCUGCUAACCUUAGAGGUUGUCCUGGUGUGGCCAAGGCAAUAUGAGUCUUCUGUGGUCAGUGUAGACCCUCUUGGAGCCGCCCAAGAAGGGAUUUCUGAGGCCAGUUUAAUAAUAAAGUGAUUAGCAUGGACUCUGGAGCCAGGUGGCCGGGGUCAAACCCCAGCUUGACCACUGUGAGACUUUGGGCAAGUUACUUAACCUCUCUGUGCCUCAAUUUUCUCAUCUGUAAAUAGGGUAGUAACAAUAUUAACUGGGUUAAUAUUAUUUGUAAAGGGCUUGUACCAAAGCCUAGAACACAGCACCAUAGCAGGGCUUGAAAUACAAGAGGUCAGAGUGAUUUCCAGCCUCGUGUGAACAUUCGGGCAAUCUUUGCUUAAUGGAUUUAUCUGCCUAUCCUGUCCUUCCUUCAGUCUAACACUAGUCUUCCCUGAGCAUCUCGUGUGUGGGCGGGGCUGCGGCUGUAGCCAGGCCAGCUGCGGUCCAUGCCUGCUGUGGUUCUUGGGUGGGGAUGAAACAGGCAGCAUCGGGGCCUUUGGUGGGUGUCGUGAUGGGGGACGACACAGGCAGCUGCUGCAGAGUCAGAGCAGGAGAGCUUAACCAGUUAAGGGACCCCACAGAAGGGGUCCCUGAAACAGCAAGAUCUAAGAUCUAAGAUGGGAACGAGGUAGCCCAGGGAAGAAGAGUAGAAAAACUUCUCCACGCAGGACAACCUCUGAGGCCAAUGUAGAUACACUAACCCUGAGUGGCCUCUGCAGCCAGUGUAGACACCCCACGCAGGGUGACCUCUGAGGCCAGUGUGGACGCCCCAAUGCAGGGCUGCGUCUGCAGUUCCAUUGGCUUCUUGCCAGGAGCGCUGGCAGGGCCCGGGCGGGUUCUGAACAGGGCAGCCCAGGACGAGGCAGGCAGACAUGUCCAGGGCAGCUGCUCCGGGUGGUGGGCGGAGGGCUGGCGCGUGGGGGGCACUGAAGCUGAGCCGCAGCACAUGGUUGCUGUCUGUUUAUUGGGCAGCUGAGCAGGUUUAAUGGGCCAACCCGCAGGCCAUGGAGAGACAGCCCUCAGAGGAGCCAUAGCAGAGGGAGGCCCUCCCUCCGCCCCAGCCGCCCCAGCUCAGCUGGGCCGCCGGAGUCUGGGGCUCUGUGGGGCCCUGUGGGGUCCUUGCCUGCCCCUCCCUGCCCCCCAGCCUGUGGUGUGGCUGUGGCCCAGCCCUGAGCAGGCACCUGGAGAUGCCAGGCCCCGGUGGGAGGGGCUGGCCUGCCCCUCACUCUCCUCAGAGGGAUCCCUGCAAGGUGUGGCCAUCACAGCCGGGAGGAGGACACCUGGCCAGGCGCGACCUUUGCCCUCCCCAGGCAGGCCUGCAGCGCCCCCGGCCCCGGUGGCCCUCGCAGCCCCCAGCCGCAUCAAUCACUCAUCUUCCCACCCUCCGAACAGCUGGUGCUUCCAGGGAAAUUACCUAAUGAAUCAACAAUGCGGGGAUUGUGGAGGCAGAACGGCUAGAGACAGGCCUCUCCCAGCGCUAGGCCCACUGGGCACAGAGGGUACCCGCGGGCCAGUAGGGCCCCCUCCCCCCUCAGGCUCCUACCCCCAGCACCUUGCAGGUUAAAGAAGGCUGCAGUCAGACAGACCUGGGUACCACGGCCCGUCUCUCACUUGCCAGCUGCAUGGCCUUACGAGAGUCACUUUACUUUUCCCAGCUUGGGUUUUCCUUGUCUGUACAAAUGGGGUUAAUAUGGUACCUUGUGCUCUGAGACUGUGUUGACUGAGAGACAUGGCCCACGUGCAGUGCUUAGCAGGGGCUUGGCAUGAGUGAUUGCUCAGUGCAUGGGAGCCUAAUAAUAAUAGUUAUGACUAUACCUGCCCAGGAAGCGUUCAUUUAUUUAUAGUUCCCAGUGACCCUUGCCAGGGAAAUUCCCUUCAGCCUCACUCUCCCUAGCUGUAAAGUGGGGCCAGGAGCCUCUUGGCUUGAGGGUCGUGACAGGGACCGAAAUGUCCCAGCCUGUGCAUGGCGGCUGGCCUGGUUCCUGUCCCUGGAAACCUCCUGGCUCCCAGCCUGGGAGCACAGCCCUGGGAAUUCUGCAGAACCAGUUCCCUGAUCUAGCUGCAUGCGACUCCCACGCCCUGCCCUCAGGGGGAAGGAUGCCUGCGCCUGGGGUGAGCACAGGGGCCUGGGGAGGUACUGCGGAAGUGUGUGGGGCUGGGCUGGGAGCCGGUGGGCAGCCUGUUGGAGCAGGCCCUGAGCUGGGCACAGAGGGCCCAUUGUUGCUGGGCCCAGCCAGGCUAGGCCCCGAGUUUCGAGAAGUGUCUAGACAGGGCAGCCCCAGGCCCUGGCCUGGCCUUCCUCUGGGCGGGGCUGUGCCACAGGGGACAGGCAGGGAGGCUGGUGUCCUCAGCUCAGAGAGACAGACGGAGGAGGCUCGGGUGGGGGCAGGGCUGCCAAGCGGGAAGAACAAACAGGCACAGUCCACACGCUGCUGGCAAGGAGGACGGCGUCAGCUGUGGUGACCCGCGUGGGACCUGGAGAGGGACCUGGACCUGGGAGGCAGAAAACCCCGGGCUCCAAUCCUGGCUCUGUGGCCGUGUGACCUGGGGCAGGUGAUUGCCCCUCUCUGAGCCUCGGUGACCUCAAGGGAACAACCUAAGGUUUAACAACUCUGAAGUCAGAGAGACUUGGGUUCAAAUCCCAGCAGCUGCGUGCCUUUUGCAAGGUAUCUUUGUGAGCCUCAGCUGCCUCAUCUGUAAAGUGGGGAUAAUGAUAAUCCUUUCCUCAUUUCUAAAAUGAGAUGAAACAAACGAUGCCUGGCAGGGAAUGAAUGUGCGAUAAAUGGUAAUGACUGCAGCUAUUAUUAUCGUCAUCAUCCCGAUUUGUUUUGGAUGAAACCAGACCUGCACAUCACCUGCCAGGCAUUGCCUGGCGCAGAGCCGACGGUCACUGUUGAGAGAGCCUUUCCUGAGACAGCGUGCUAGGGCCCUGGCCCUGGCCUUGGCCUCGGUUGCCCUGCCCAUGAAAUGGGCUCAUCCCAGACCAGGCCACCCACAGCUCAGGGGCAGUGGGCCAGGCCAUCUGUGGGGAAUUCCCCUCCUGGCCUCUCUGCCUCCCAGCGUGGGACUGUUUUUAGCUGGAUGGGUAGGAGUUGCUGCUCUUCUCUCUCCUGGUAUUUUUGGCACGUCCUGACUGAUGGGGCUCCUCUGCCCUCCUGUACCAGCAGCUCCCACAGAACCUGGCCUGAACCUUGUACCAGGGUCUUGCCUCCCACCCCAGUCCCGGGAGACACCAGGAGGAAGAGACACCUGUGCAGCCACCUCUCAUGUGCCACGAGCGGCCUCGGGGCCACCCACAGCUGGCCCCAGGUCUGAGGCUGUGGGGGUCUUAGAGCACCCGCCAGGCUCCCCUCCCCCACAUGCUCUGUGUGGUUUCCAUGGCAAUGAACACAAAUCCCCUAGUGCUUCACAGAGGAGCCUUGUUUGUUUUGUACGCAUAACUCUGGAAACCAUGUCACAGGCCCCGGCCCCCCAAAUCCCCCCCUCAGCCCAGCGCACUCCCCAACCUGAUCAGAUGGACCCAGACGGGCCCAGAUGGGGGGCAGCACGCUCCUCCUCUGGACCAGGCCAAGGGGCCGUCGACGGGGAGCCGGGCCGCGUCACCUCCCAGCCCCUUCCCCUCUUGGAGCCUCACUUCCCUUGCCUGUAGAAUGGGGAUGUGUCCUGAGACAGAACGUGUGACCUGGCCCACACUAGGUGCUUAAUAAAUGCACAAGUUGUGCAGAACCUUUCCUGUCCUUGACCAAAGUACUUCACCUUUCUGAGCCUCGAUUCCUCUACCUGUGAAAUGGGGAGAAAGGUCUCUACCUUAUUAGAGGGGAUGAAGCAUUCAAUAAAAUGAUGCAUGUACAGUGCUUAGCAGGGUGCUUGGCACUGAGCAAGGGCCCACUCGGUAGCGAUGCUUUCAGUGUUGCUCCUGUGUUAUUAUCAUCAUCCCCAGCUGGGGGUGGGGUAUUCCCGCCAGGCCCUCCUACCUCUCUGGCUUCCUCCAGCUCAGGGAGCUGCUGCCUGAACCCAGUCCCCCUCCUCGACGCCACACCCCCCACACCCCACCCCCUGGCAGGGUAACCUGAUUUGGGGGGAGGGGUGGUGCAGCCUGGCACGGCCCAUUGUUCGGGUCCCCCUGGAGCUGGGGCCACGCGGUUGGCGGGGUAGCUGCCAGCUGCGCGGUGACAUUCCGCAGCCCUGCUAACCGCUGCUCCUGACUCUGGUGGCUAAAUUGAGUCUCGGUUUCCUUAAAAUGACUAUUUAUUGCCUUAGUGCAGUACUGAGUAUUUACUGAGUGUUGGCAAAAAAGGCUCGCCCAGCUCAGGGCGGUGCAGCCUCCGGCAGCGGCAGUGGGGCUGCUCCAGGAGGGCCGUCUGGAGAAGGGGGGCGGCCUCUCUUUCCCAGAGAAACAGAGGCCCCUCCGGUGCUCCCCGUACUGGGCUGCAAGGGCGGGGUUGCCAAGUCUCUGAUCUGGACCACUCCCUCCCCAGGUGGUGUGUGUUCAGGAGGAGAAGGCCUGCCUGACACCCACCCCCCCCACCCCCGCCCCUCACAGGCGUGGAGAAUCGCUGCCCUUUGAACAGAUCAGGCACCAGCUGCCCCCCACCUGCCCCCAGCAGCCCGCCUCCUCAGCGAGGCCAGCUCAUGCCAGCCUGGGGCAUCUCAGCUGUGUCCCCUGCACGGAGACCUUCACACACCCAACGAGGCGGGGCGUGGGCCCUCCCUGAGGGCUGCACCAUUGUCUCCAGGUUAAUGCAAACGCUGACCAAAACCCAGAAGGAGCCGUGCGUUGAGAGGCUGCAGUGUUGUGCCUGUGAAACAGAGAUGGGAGGAGGAAGCAUCUCCAUUGGAGCUGCCCUGUGUGGGGCGCCUGAGCCGGCCCUGGGCUGAGGUGCUGUGCCCCGGAGCUCAGGAAUCCCCCUGACAACCCGUGAGGGUAGCUGCUGUAUUUGCCCUAUUUUACAGAUGGGAAAACUGAGGUUUGAGAAGUCAGAUCUGAACCCAGGUCUGGCUGCUCGGCUCCCCACCUUGCAGGGUCCCAGGGUGUUAUGGUAGCCCGAAGGAGGAUGCCAGGGGUGCCGGCGGGCUCCCUGGAGGAAGCGCCCAUUGAAUAGCCCUGAAGGACAGAAAGCAUUCAACCAACAGCCCUGGAGGGGGCCCUGGGCAGGCCAGGAGGAGGGAUGGGGGAAGCAAAGGCAGAGAGGUGGACCAGGAAGAAUCUCAGAGUGCGCAGUAGCCUCGAGAGUGAGGCCGAUCACGUGAGUGGAGCCAGAUCAGGGAGAGCUUGCCUUUGUGCGGCUGGAGCCUCAGAUCCACUCCUAGAAAGAGGAAGGAGAGGCAGUGAGGGAGAGAGAGGGCAGAAAACUGAGGGCAAAGAAAGAAACAGCAAAAGGAAGAGGGAAGUGGGCAAGAGAAGUUGUUGAAGCGGCUGCGAUCAGGAGGGCCACAGCUCAGGUGUCUGGCCUUGCCUCUGCGCUGGCACUGCUCUGGGUGCUUCAUGGAUUCAAAGUGUGGAUGGAGAGCUCGGGCUGGCCAAGGAGGACUGCGGGCUGCCCAGGGGAGGGACUCUGAAGACGUCUGAGCAGCGUGACACCAUUUGACUUUCAUUCCCAAAGAGCCAGGAGGAGGCAGAGAGGUCCAGGAGGCCAGUGUAAGGGCUGGCAGGGUGGGUGUACAGGGACAGGGGUCCACAGAGGUGCCACGUGGGCAGAACAGGAAGCGGAGUAGACCAAGGUCGCGGGGUCCUGGACCUCAGCCCGGGGUGUGAGUGUCACCUCUAGAAGAGCUGGGCAGAUGAACCAAGCUUAGGGAGGAGAACGAAUGGGCUUGUGGCACGUUCUUUUCUUUUUUAUAUUAUAAAAGCCUUUGUUGCUUGUUUAAUAAAUCCAGACCAAGCAGAGGUAAGUCAAGCAAAAUGGGACAGUCCUCAUCCCUUCCCCCACUCCCUUCUCAGAGGCCGUCAGCGACUGAUGGGGAACAUUCCAGACCUUUCCUACAUGUGUGCGAGCAUGUUCUGCAAGCAUGUCCCGUGCACAUGCAGUUGGCUUUCCUCUUUAGGAAUCCGUAUUUUCUCUGCGCUGCGCUGCUCUGCACUUGCCUCCUCCACUUAGCAACGUGCUGAGGACAUCUGCCCAUUGCAGUGCAUGUGGAUUUACCUCUGUCCUUGUAACCACAACAUAACAGUCCAAGGAAUGGGUGAGCUUUGAUUUAUUAACCCAUUUCCCCCACUGACAGCCCUUUGGGCUGUAGCCAGUGCUUCACUGUCACACACACAAUACAUCAGCAAACAUCCUGGUACAUAUAUCUUUGUGCACAUGUGCCGCAUGACGGGAACUGGGGUGUAAACACAUUGGGUGGUGCUGCCCUGGGGGCAUCUACUCUCAGCAGCCCAGGAAGCAGGUGGGCGAAGGGAUCUGGAGCCCAGGGGAGGAAGGGGGUCCCUGAAGGAGGGAUCAGUGCUGCAGAACUGGAGGUGGUGGCUUGAGGGCAUUUGGCAUCAAAGCGACAAUCAAAGUCAUAAAGGGACAGAGCCCUGGGGGUCCUAGCAUUUAAGAGCAGGUGGCGAACCAGGAACCUGCAAAUAUGUGGGGGGAAACCAAGACCAUGUGCCUUCGUAGUUACCAGAAGAAAGGGAUGGUGAAAUGUGUAAAUGGCAGAGGAGGCUGUCAAGCCCCUUGCGUAGUCCUGGCACAUAGAAGCUGCUCACUAAACACUGGGUGGUUAAAGGAGUGAAUGAGUGAAUGAAUGAAUGAAUGAAUAAGGCCCUUAGGUCUGGAAGGUGUUGUGUGUUUUCAGCUGAAUGGUAGUUUGGGGCAAGUGGAGAAAGCUGAAACCAGGUUGCGUGGGGAGGGAUGCAGGUGAGGCUAAGGUAGCAGUGGGUGUGGACAGUCUCCUCAGAGCCUGGCUGGCCAGGGAUGGGGAGAGGUGGGCAGGUUGAGGAGGAGGCCGGGAGCUGAGUGUCCUGGCAGGUUAGGAGGGGGAGGGGGAGGAAGAGAUGCUGAGGGAGUUUGCAGCUCGGGGACAGGGACUCUUAGUGAGGCCAGGGGUCCACAGGGACCUCAGUAUUGAGGUGCUCAGGGCUUGGAGGGGGUGUGGGAGUCACUUCCUGAGCACCGUCCUGGGCUCUCAGCACUCACCCUCUCCUUGUUUCUUCACCAGAACCCUGCGAAGGCAGGUGAUAACCUCCCGUUUUACAGAGGAGGAAACUGAGCCUCUGGAGGGGAAGUCAUGAGCCCAGGGUCACAGAGCUAAGAUGAAUCCACAUCCUACAGACUCCAAAGAAGCCCCCCGCUCUCCCCGCUCUGUGCCCCCUACUCUCACCCGGGCCCUCCUGGGGUGGCGCUCAUCAAGGAGUGAUACUCAAACAGAGCCAGGAGCCCCAGGGGAACUGGUUCCCUUUACCCACAGAGUGGGGUAAGUGUGUGCAUUUUUCCUCCUCUCUUAAACCACCAUGGAGGCUUUGUUGGGUAAAAAACCCGAGAUGCAGUCAGAUUUAUUUGCCAUUUAGAAAUGGACCCAGAGACAGUGACAGUCCUGGGGUCCAGUCCAGCCAAGGGGCUCUCUGGCCACCUUGGGCACUGGGCGGCCCUGGCCCUGCAGGCUGCGGGGAGGGCUGGGGAGGAAGAGUGAGGCUCGCACAGCAGAGAAGAUGGGCGGGCCUUCCAGGGAGCCAGCAGGCAGGAGUGAAGGUGGAGAGGUGACAGUGUGUGCAAGGAGCAGCAGGGAAGCGGAGCAGGGUCCAGCUGAGGGCUGGGAGCUCAUGUGUCUGACAUGGGCUGAGGCCAAGGGGAGCUGGAGCUGGGCCAAUAGGGCAGAAACCGGGGUGGACGGCCAUCCAGGGUGCGAGGCCCGGGGAAGACUGCAGCUGGGGAGGAGAGGCGGUCAGCGAGCUGGGGGCCCUGAACAAGCCACCCAGCAGCCUGGGCUGCGGCUGCGGGCUGGCCUCUUCCCUCUCAGCCUGGGCCUCCUGCCCCAUCCAGCAUUAACCCUGCGGCUACUUUUAGGAGAGCCAAACCUUCCUAGACGUUUUCUUCUGAAAAAGAGCUUCACUUGGGCCUGUAGUGUGUGUGUGUGUGUGUGUGUGUGUGUGCGCGCGCGUGUGUGCGUGUAUACCUGUAUGUCUAGGUGUGUCCCUUGCCACCUGUGUGGGCCUAUGUGUCUUUGUUUUCGUGUGUCGAUUUGUGUCCUUGUUUGUCCAGCAUCUCUUAAGUUCUUGUGUGCUAGUGUAUGCUUGGGUUUUUGUGUGCUGUGUGUGUUUGUACACACCGUGUAUCUGCAGGUGCCUGUGUGUACCUUUGUAUGUGCCCUCAGGUUUCCCUGGGUAAGUAGAUGGCAUCCUAGUCACCUUAGGUGUGUGUGACUGUGUGUCCACAUGUGUGUCCAUAGGUGUACAUGUGUUACGAGUGUCCCCGUGUGUGUGUGUGUGUACUUAUGAGGCCAUGUGGCACUGGGGCUAGGGGGUCAGUUGUAUCUAGGGCAGGGCAGAAAGGGAGCCCAAAGUCUCUUGGAAACUGGACAGCCCACUUCCCUGCCCCCAGGAUGCCCGCCCCCCGAGGCAGGACAGGAGCCACAGUGACCCUGGCAGAGGUGAGGGAGGCAGGUGAGAGGGAGGAUGCCUGCAGAGGAGCUGAGGGCAGGGCUCCUGGGCCCGAGAUUGAUGACAGCUGCAGGCAGGAGCUGCCUGACUGACAGGGACCCCAACAUGGCAGCUCCUCCAGAAACCUGGCACUGGGAGGCCAGCAGAACUGUGUCCCCCAGAGCAGUCACUGGAGCAAACGUGGGUGACACCCCUCUAAGGGCGGACCCCUGAAACAGCCCCAAUGGCCUCCCAUGGCUAGACACGCCUACACAGUGUCUCCGCCAGUAGGAAUGUACGUGCAUCCACGGUCAUGCACAGCGGUAGAACGUGUGAACAUGCUCAGAGAUCAGCCUGUAGAUGUAGUUACGCACACGUGCAGUCGUAAAAGGAGGCACGUCUUCGUGUGUAUGUGAAUAUGUGCGGACAGUAUGUGUGUGCACGGUGGCGCCGGCACUCGUGUGUAUUAUGCAGGCAUGAACAGCAGGGUGGGGCAAAUACAGAUGUUCAGGUGGGUGUGUGGCCGUACGUGAGUGUGUAUGGAUGUGUGCCUAUGCAGUGCCAACACACACAUCCGUAUUGGCAGGCUUGGGUAGGUGGAUUUGGGGGGCUGUAGACUACUGGUGCAUGCAACCCAGGCGUGCACGCACGAGUGCGUACAGGGAGGCGUGUGUACGUGUGGAGUCCUGUGUUCCGUGGUGGAAGGCGGGCUCACACCAGACUUGUGUACACGUAGACCUCUUCUCCCUGACCAAGCUCGCUGCUAGCACAAUGGUUGCCUGGUGGGGACUGCAGGACAGACAGACACACAGCCAGGGGGCAUCCAGGUGGCGGAGUUGGGGGCGACGGAAGCUCAGGGCGAGGGCACCUCCCCAACACUCGCAGAGCUGGACAUCCCGGGCACACGUCCAGGCCCAGCUCACCUGCGAAUGGGCAGGAUUCAAUCCCAUCCCAGUAAACCUGGCUCUGCUCCACCACUGCUGCCGAGCUGUGAGCGGGGCGGGGGUAGGGGGACCAGGCUCGGAAAUCGACCAUAAAUUUCUUGAGAUGCUUUAAUUUUUUAAAAGCUUCACUUAGAUGUUUUGCAUUGAGAAAACCCACAAAUACCAGCUAAAUGAGGUGUGCCAGCGGAAGGCCUGGUGGCCAGGCCCACGGCCCUCCCCUCCCCGCAGCUGGGCCUGGGCUCAGCUGGGGCCCCUGGGCCGGCCAGUGGGGCCGAGGGGCCCAUCUUUGUUCCGAGCGGGGCUCAGACUGCAGAGUGGCUGGGUAAAUAGUCGCCGCAGUAAUCACAGGCUGAUUCCAACUAAUUAAAUCCUGCGCCAAGAGCCCACUCCAGCCAGUAUCCCGAGAGGCCACGAAAACACAGACACCCCAGACGGGGCUUUGCUCCAGGUCGGGUCUGGUGCUCUAAUCCCGUAUCUUUUGAAAGAUAGGCGAGUCCCGGGAUGAGGGGUCAGCGGGCCUGCCCUGUGCCGAGCGGUGGAAUUUUUCAAUAACCAGCAGCUGGGUCACCCGGCACACAAAGGCAGUGUAAUAUCCUGUGGGCUUACGCGGGGAGAGAGCUCAGACCGCGCAGAGCCAGCUCCCUCCAGGCCCGGGGCAGCGGUCCCCCACAGCCCAAGCCCCCAGCAGCCAGGCCGCCGCUGCUCUCCCACCAGAAGGGCAGAGAGAGCCUCGGUCGCAGCCUCUGCUGCCCCCUCCUCCAGAGCCUGGGCUUCCAAGAAAAUUCAUCUUCCUUAUUAAAAACCAGCCUCGAUGCUCUUAGGCCCCAGCUGCAGGCUGUGUGGGGACCUGCCCAGGGUAGGGUUGUAGGGACCAGGCCCCUUCCGAGGGGGCAACGACGCUCCUCGUGUGGGGAGACCACGCUGAACAGGGCAAAGGCCUCCAGCUCUGGAGUCCGAAGGGUGGGGAUUCAAAUCCCAUGGGGCCUGUCGGCCUGAGGAGGUCCUGGCUCGUCUUUGUGCUGGCUGGUGACCUCAAGCAAGGUGUCCCCUUGUCCGCUUUGUGAGUGGGUGAUCAGGGCACGGUGGCUCUCUCUUCCCUCCCCCAGCCUCAGUUUCUUUCACUGUAUAAUGGGGAUCUGGGGCCUUCCUCACAUGCUCUGGGGAGAAGCAGGGUUUGUGCCCCCGAGGGACUGACACACUGUAGAGGGCUGUCCUCGGCAGGAGCCAUGCAGCACAUGUGAGAGUGAUUAGAAGCUGCAGAGACCCAGUUGAUUUUAUUUUAUUUUAUUUUUUCUUAGAGAAACAAUAGUUGCCCCCUCUCCCGAGUCUGGAAUGCUUUACGCCCAGGGUCUGGGACCCCUCAUUUAAAUUGGCUGCGAAGGGACAGGCGCUGUGAGCCCGGGGAGGAGGUUGUUAGGGAUGGAAAGCCCGGGCCUAGGAAUUUACAAUCCGUUACUUGAGAGGUGUCCUACCUCCCCCUCACCCCAUCCAGGCCUUCGCAGGCCCAGCAUGUGCCGUAAAGAUGUCACACUGGGUGGGGUGCCGAGGAGGGAUCCAGGGCCUGGCCUCCGGGGGUGGGGAGGGGUGUACACAGCCUGAGACAGAAUCCUGGCUGCACCGUGUUCGGCAAGAUGAGCCCAGACAAGGGCUUCCCUCUCUGAGCCUCGGUGGCCUCCAUAAACCAGGACACAGAGAGCGCUGGGUAAGCGGGAGCAUUGUUUUUAUCACGCACCUCUCCACGCCAGCAAUGCCAGCUGUGAGUCCAGCGAUGCCCUGAUGUGAUGAGGUCCACAGACCCAUGGGGCACCUUGCAACAGGGACUUGGUCAGAGUUGUGCACUUCCCACUGCCAGCCUGUGCCAGGCACAGUGCCAGGAACCCUGCUCACAUACCAAGCAAGCAGCUCUUUUUGUCCUUUGCCAAAUCACACACCAACCUCUCUUAUUUGGGGAUCUGACACUUUGUAGCUGCGAGGCUUGGCACAAGGCACAUCGCCUCUCUGAGCCUCAGUUUACUCAUCUGUGAAAUGGGUGGUCGUUUCCCCUGCCUUACAGGGUUGGGAGGAAAUGAGAGAGAAUGCAUGAGCUCAGCCCAGGGCCAGGCACGCAGCAGGUGCUCAGUACACAGUGCUCUUGGCGCUGGGGCAGGGGGAGAGCCUGACCCUGUGGGGGCACCUCCCAAGGGUUUGAAAGGCAUUUGAGGGGACCUGGGAGAGUGAGUGGGACCACCAGCAGAAGAAGGGGGAGGGUGCGGCAUGCUGGUGGCCAGGCACUGUGGGCACCUAACACACCCAGCUCCCCUAAACAGCUCACCACCAGACAGGAGGGUCAGAUCGAGAGCCAAAUAGGAACCUGAUGGUGAGUCAAACGUGGGUGCAGGUGGCGAGGG
Orcinus orca (killer whale) is the source of this 26987-nucleotide long non-coding RNA. RefSeq lists it as uncharacterized. The transcript is spliced from 3 exons. NCBI's taxonomy places the organism in Eukaryota, Metazoa, Chordata, Mammalia, Artiodactyla, Delphinidae. The record is from RefSeq and is a predicted model, not a curated record.